GACGUAGGGUGCGAGCGUUGUCCGGAUUUAUUGGGCGUAAAGAGCUCGUAGGCGGCUCGUCGCGUCGACCGUGAAAACCCGCGGCUCAACUGCGGGCCUGCAGCCGAUACGGGCAGGCUAGAGUUCGGUAGGGGAGACUGGAAUUCCUGGUGUAGCGGUGAAAUGCGCAGAUAUCAGGAGGAACACCGGUGGCGAAGGCGGGUCUCUGGGCCGAUACUGACGCUGAGGAGCGAAAGCGUGGGGAGCGAACAGG
RNAcentral lists this ribosomal RNA (253 nucleotides) under uncultured bacterium. RNAcentral describes it as "partial 16S ribosomal RNA". It matches the Rfam family "Bacterial small subunit ribosomal RNA", at positions 524 to 776 of the family's 1533-position model. The record is from RNAcentral.